ACCUACUCCGCCCAUCCACCAGGAAGUGCUGCAGCAUAUUUUAUUCACUUCUAAACACGCGACUACCUGUCAUAGUUAUAAUCAUGUAGACAUUAAACUGUUCAUAUUUUAUACACUGUUGUUGCUAUGGUGAAUCAUUCUGACAGUCAGUGGACGAAGGAAGUUUAGGAUGUUUUCGUCAUGGUCUCCAAAACGACACGCAUGUUGAGACCAGGGACUUGAUUGCACCCAAGCGGUAAACUUUUCCUUUCAGUGACAAAAAUGGCAGAGCAGAGCAGCUCGACAGCUCCAGAUCUCCUGAAGCGUAACCUUGAUGAGAGGGAGGGAGAAGGAGAGACGACCGAAAAUGGCCCUAAACAAAUUCGUCCGGUGAUCGGUAUUAACUUCUGUGAAUACACGCCUCUGGUGUGGCGUGCAGCUGAGGUGAAGGCUGCUCGCGAGAGGGGUAUCAUCGGAUCUUUGGUCGGUUCGUUAGCGCGACAGCCCCGGCAGAACUGCAGGUUGGGGAGACCGUUGGAGUUGACGGAAGAAGAGGGACGUUUGCUGGUGGAGAUAGGCGAAGCUGUACGAAUCCCUCCCAUUGACCCACAGGUUGAGGCCGGAGAAGUGGACCGGGAGCGCGUGGACCAGUACCACGCAGAUCUCGAGGGAACCUUUGAGGAGCAGAAGGCCCUGGCGCUCGAGGACAGGAAGGCUUGCCUUCUGAGAGUUAUGAGCGAGAAACAAAAUGCAGCCCCCUCAGACAGCUCCCUCCUCUCCCGUCUGGACGACCUGCAGCGCAGCUUCUCCUUCCCUCGGGCGGCCAUGACAGUGCAGCUGUGCACCGCCUCCGCUGGGCUCCAGUACGGCCCGGAGGAGAGGGACUUCCUGUCCGCCUCCCCCUCGGUCCCCCGGGAACGAGGCUCGGAGACGAGGUUCCUGGUCUUCAGAGACCUGAGGCAACGAGGCUUCUGCCUCACCUCUGCCGGCAAGUUCGGAGGAGACUUCCUGGUGUAUCCUGGUGACCCUCUCUGUUUCCACGCCCAUUUCAUCGCCGUGUGCCUCGACCUGGAUGAGUGUCUGCCUGUGAGCGACGUCCUCACCGUGGCGCGGCUGGGCUCCAACGUGAAGAAAACGGUGCUGCUGUGUUCUCCGGCCGAGGAGGAGGUGCUGUACACGUCUCUGCAGUGGAGCGGAAUGAUCUAGAGGAGGAGGUGCUGUACACGUCUCUGCAGUGGAGCGGAAUGAUCUAGAGGAGGAGUGUCGCUCAAGACGUGUGUAUGGACUGCCAGCGUGUCUGACAUCGGACCUCAUGUCAGUGGCUGUGCUUGGACCAUCUCUCUCUCGUCACUGAGAGGAUGUGGUCAUUGCUGUGGUGUAGAUCCCCUGUCGGCCCACCAGGGGGCGAUAAAGCACUCACUGCAUCAGAAACGGACUUGUCCUGAAUGUUAGUGUGAUUCAAUCAUAAGGUGUUUACCUGUCUUAUCAUUUUCCCCUCUAUACUGAGGGACAUCAUUUAGCCUGAACUGGAGGAUCAACGCCAGUAAUUGAGCAGACUAGAUAAACACAUCUGUUAAAUACA
Osmerus eperlanus (European smelt) is the source of this 1561-nucleotide RNA transcript. It is a transcript of the gene named TSEN34 tRNA splicing endonuclease subunit, with no coding region annotated. Lineage: Eukaryota; Metazoa; Chordata; Actinopteri; Osmeriformes; Osmeridae. The transcript is spliced from 5 exons. The record is from RefSeq and is a predicted model, not a curated record.